This 232-nucleotide ribosomal RNA is filed under the name uncultured bacterium. RNAcentral describes it as "partial 16S ribosomal RNA". It matches the Rfam family "Bacterial small subunit ribosomal RNA", at positions 99 to 334 of the family's 1533-position model. The record is from RNAcentral.
CGGACGGGUGAGUAAUGUCUGGGAAACUGCCUGAUGGAGGGGGAUAACUACUGGAAACGGUAGCUAAUACCGCAUAACGUCGCAAGACCAAAGAGGGGGACCUUAGGGCCUCUUGCCAUCGGAUGUGCCCAGAUGGGAUUAGCUUGUAGGUAAGGUAACGGCUUACCUAGGCGACGAUCCCUAGCUGGUCUGAGAGGAUGAUCAGCCACACUGGGACUGAGACACGGCCCAG